AAAAGCCGUCUCAGUUCGGAUUGUUCUCUGCAACUCGAGAGCAUGAAGGCGGAAUCGCUAGUAAUCGCGGAUCAGCAUGCCGCGGUGAAUACGUUCCCAGGCCUUGUACACACCGCCCGUCACACCAUGGGAGUUGGKUUCACCCGAAGGCRKUGCKCUAACYCGCAAGRGAGGMAGSYGACCACGGUGGGMUYAGCGACUGGGGUGAAGUCGUAACAAGGUAGCCGUAGGGGAACCUGCGGCUGGAUCACCUCCUUUCUAAGG
This 264-nucleotide ribosomal RNA is filed under the name Nostoc linckia z13. Its description in RNAcentral is "partial 16S ribosomal RNA". It matches the Rfam family "Bacterial small subunit ribosomal RNA", at positions 1278 to 1533 of the family's 1533-position model. The record is from RNAcentral. Lineage: Bacteria; Bacillati; Cyanobacteriota; Cyanophyceae; Nostocales; Nostocaceae.